GACGAACGCUGGCGGCGUGCUUAACACAUGCAAGUCGAGCGGAAAGGCCCUUCGGGGUACUCGAGCGGCGAACGGGUGAGUAACACGUGAGUAACCUGCCCCAGACUUUGGGAUAACCCUCGGAAAUGGGGGCUAAUACCGGAUACGACACAGCUUCGCAUGGGGUCUGUGUGGAAAGUUUUUCGGUUUGGGAUGGGCUCGCGGCCUAUCAGCUUGUUGGUGGGGUGAUGGCCUACCAAGGCGACGACGGGUAGCCGGCCUGAGAGGGCGACCGGCCACACUGGGACUGAGACACGGCCCAGACUCCUACGGGAGGCAGCAGUGGGGAAUAUUGCACAAUGGGCGGAAGCCUGAUGCAGCGACGCCGCGUGAGGGAUGACGGCCUUCGGGUUGUAAACCUCUUUCAGUAGGGACGAAGCAUAAGUGACGGUACCUGCAGAAGAAGCGCCGGCCAACUACGUG
RNAcentral lists this ribosomal RNA (462 nucleotides) under uncultured bacterium. Its description in RNAcentral is "partial 16S ribosomal RNA". It matches the Rfam family "Bacterial small subunit ribosomal RNA", at positions 28 to 507 of the family's 1533-position model. The record is from RNAcentral.